CUCUCCAUAGUUCAAUGGAUAGAACGAGUGCCUCCUAAGCGCUAGAUACAGGUUCGAUUCCUGUUGGAGGGACCA
This 75-nucleotide transfer RNA is filed under the name Comamonas testosteroni. Its description in RNAcentral is "tRNA-Arg". It matches the Rfam family "tRNA". From Rfam's summary of the family: Transfer RNA (tRNA) molecules are approximately 80 nucleotides in length. Their secondary structure includes four short double-helical elements and three loops (D, anti-codon, and T loops). The record is from RNAcentral. Lineage: Bacteria; Pseudomonadati; Pseudomonadota; Betaproteobacteria; Burkholderiales; Comamonadaceae.